GGAGGGGUGGCCGAGCGGCUGAAGGCACCGGUUUGCUAAACCGUCAUACGAGGUAAACUUGUAUCGGGGGUUCGAAUCCCCCCCUCUCCGCCA
Molecule: transfer RNA, 93 nt
Filed under: Sphingomonas sp.
Lineage: Bacteria; Pseudomonadati; Pseudomonadota; Alphaproteobacteria; Sphingomonadales; Sphingomonadaceae
Description: tRNA-Ser
Rfam family: tRNA
About the family: Transfer RNA (tRNA) molecules are approximately 80 nucleotides in length. Their secondary structure includes four short double-helical elements and three loops (D, anti-codon, and T loops).
Source: RNAcentral